This 695-nucleotide long non-coding RNA is filed under the name Marmota monax (woodchuck). Lineage: Eukaryota; Metazoa; Chordata; Mammalia; Rodentia; Sciuridae. The record is from RNAcentral.
UUUAGAUUUAUGUAAAAAAAAAAAGUAGUGUCCAGGCCUGAUGUGGUGGUACAUACCUGUAAUCCCAAAUAUCAUAGAGGCUGAGGCAGAAGGAUCACAACUUCAAGGCCAACCUGGGUAACUAAGUGAUAAUAGGUCUCAAACUAUCAAAAAAUUUUGUAUAUAUAUGAGUGAUAAAGCACCCUGAGUUCAAUCCCCAGUGCCAUAUAAAACAGUAGUUUCCAAAAUUUACACCCAAAACAGCAGCCUACACUCUAUCUGCAACUAUGUAAAGUUUUAAAAGGAAGCUAAAUUUAGCCAUUCCUACUACUAGUUGUCUGAUUAUAUCGAUCAUAAUCUUGAAAUAUAUACAUAGAAGACCCUUCACAAUGUUUUAGGUGUUCCCAUUAUUUUUUCUAAUUACAAUGAGAGAGGGAGGAAAACCAAUUUAACUUAUGGGCUCUUCUUUUUCUUCAGGACUAAUGAAUCAAAUAUUAAAAGGAUUUAGCAUUUAAUUGAUUAUCAAUUAUGAUAUGUGUUCUGUGAUUUCUUGCUUAAUCUACAUUGGACAAUUUAUUAUUUCUGAGUAUCAGCAUCUCUACAGGCCACCAAACCCCACUCUAUUUUUUAAUAAUUACAAGUCCCUGUUUUCAUGCUUCCUCAGUUAUUCUCUUUUAAACAUAAUUAUGUGUUGCAUUCUUUGUCUACAGAAAAAU